RNAcentral lists this ribosomal RNA (575 nucleotides) under Saccharomyces cerevisiae (brewer's yeast). Its description in RNAcentral is "eukaryotic LSU rRNA". It matches the Rfam family "Eukaryotic large subunit ribosomal RNA", at positions 65 to 657 of the family's 3401-position model. The record is from RNAcentral. Lineage: Eukaryota; Fungi; Ascomycota; Saccharomycetes; Saccharomycetales; Saccharomycetaceae.
ACAAGUGGGAUGCUUAGUACGGCGAGUGAAGCGGCAAAAGCUCAAAUUUGAAAUCUGGUACCUUCGGUGCCCGAGUUGUAAUUUGGAGAGGGCAACUUUGGGGCCGUUCCUUGUCUAUGUUCCUUGGAACAGGACGUCAUAGAGGGUGAGAAUCCCGUGUGGCGAGGAGUGCGGUUCUUUGUAAAGUGCCUUCGAAGAGUCGAGUUGUUUGGGAAUGCAGCUCUAAGUGGGUGGUAAAUUCCAUCUAAAGCUAAAUAUUGGCGAGAGACCGAUAGCGAACAAGUACAGUGAUGGAAAGAUGAAAAGAACUUUGAAAAGAGAGUGAAAAAGUACGUGAAAUUGUUGAAAGGGAAGGGCAUUUGAUCAGACAUGGUGUUUUGUGCCCUCUGCUCCUUGUGGGUAGGGGAAUCUCGCAUUUCACUGGGCCAGCAUCAGUUUUGGUGGCAGGAUAAAUCCAUAGGAAUGUAGCUUGCCUCGGUAAGUAUUAUAGCCUGUGGGAAUACUGCCAGCUGGGACUGAGGACUGCGACGUAAGUCAAGGAUGCUGGCAUAAUGGUUAUAUGCCGCCCGUCUUAA